RNAcentral lists this ribosomal RNA (253 nucleotides) under uncultured bacterium. RNAcentral's name for it is "partial 16S ribosomal RNA". It matches the Rfam family "Bacterial small subunit ribosomal RNA", at positions 524 to 776 of the family's 1533-position model. The record is from RNAcentral.
UACAUAGGGCUCAAGCGUUGUUCGGAUUCAUUGGGCGUAAAGGGUGCGUAGGCGGCGCGGUAAGUCGGGUGUGAAAUCUUGGAGCUUAACUCCGAAACUGCAUUCGAUACUGCCGUGCUUGAGGACUGGAGAGGAGACUGGAAUUUACGGUGUAGCGGUGAAAUGCGUAGAUAUCGUAAGGAAGACCAGUGGCGAAGGCGGGUCUCUGGAAAGUUCCUGACGCUGAGGCACGAAGGCCAGGGGAGCAAACGGG